UUUCCCUUCUCCAGGGGAUCUUCCCAACCCAGGGAUUGAACCUGGAUCUGCUGCAUUGCAGGCAGAUUCUUUACCAUCUGAGCCACCAGGAGAGCCCAUGAACAACCUGCUUGGUCCUUAUUUGAGCUAAAAAGCUCAUCUCCACACAAACAAACUCAAGUAUGACUGUGGACCUUCCUGGGUCUUUGUUUUCUGAUCUGUAAUAAGAGAUUGAGGAUGCGGCCCUGACUUAAGCCACUGUGAUAGUUACAGAUCGUCAGCCAACACCCAGGCUUGAGUUCUUUUAUUGAUGGAAUGAAGCAUACACAACUAACCUGGAGGAAGGACUCUGGCAUGAGUGGAAUGUGAACAUUUCUCUUGCAGAAAGACUUAUGGCCAUUUUCCAGGGUAACUGGGUGUGGAAGAAAGGGAAAGACCCAAAUCUUUUAGGGAACUUUGGAUGAAGACUUCGAGCUAUUACCAAUUUUGGGGGACCCAGAGGACCACUGUAGGUCCACCAAUCAUGUGAAAAACCAUGUUUUGACCUUGGUCCCUGUCACUGGAGGUCUAGUGGGAUCCCAAAGCUAUCCUGUAUCUUCAGUUUCGGAGUGAUAGCUGGAAAAGAUCCCUACAUUGGCUCCCAGACCCAUGGAGGCCAUUAUAAUACAAAAGGCCAAUAGAAUUCAAUUAACUGUUUCAAAAUAGAGAACUCAACAGAGAUCCCACAUCUUUAGGGAGGCUGAAAGAUAAGUGCUUCUACCAAAACUCCUGCAGGAUGAUGACUCCUAUCAAAACACCAUUAGGGGACUUCCCUGGUGGUCCAAUGUUUAAGAUUCCUUGCUCCCAAUGCAGGGGGCCUGGGUUUGAUCCUUGGUCAAAGAACUAGAUCCUACAUACUGCAACUAAGACCCAGCAUAGCCACAUAAAAUUUUUAAAGGAUAAGAUAAUAAAAUUAAAUAGAAUUUUAAAACAAAACAAACAACAAAACCAUUAUUUUCCCCUGUUUGGUGCAAAAUUAGAAGAGUCUUAGAAAAUGACAUUAAUCAAGUGGCAAUUCCCAUCUUAGCUUCUGUGUUAGAAACAUGCUCCUAAUUAUAGUCCCUGGAGCUAAUAUACAUCUAAGGGUUUCACUAUUUGAAGAAAGAGAAACCACAGGAAGCACUUUGCUGGAAAGGGUAACAGUUUUCCAACUCACAGGGACACCUUAAUUCUCCAGCUCUGUAGCAGGAAGACUUUGAUUCCCUGAUCAUCCUUGUUCCACACAUCAAACAGAUCCAUUGCAUUGAUUAAGUCACAUUAAUAGUCAAAUUAAUAUAAUUUAAUAUAUUAAAUUAAAUAUACUUUAAUUAUAUACAAGAUGGUUUCCUCAUGUUAGAAACGUUUAUAAAAUUGUGUGAAUUGGGAAGAAGCUGUGAGCCUAUGGUGUGGGGAGCCAGGGGCUGGAAUGUCGUUACACCUGCAAUUGUCACCUAUUAACAUUCCUCCCCUUUAUUUUGCUGACAUCAUGUGGAUUUUCUUUGGGUAACUACCCUUCUUCCACCCCAAGUGAUCUGUUGUAGCUGUUUAUCCAGGUACCCUGCCCUCCAUUCCCAUCAAGGGAGAGGCAUAUGACUCAAGCUAAGCAAAUCCACCUCUCUCCUGGGGUUGGGACUGUGAGGAGAAGGAUACAGGGAAAGAAGGAGAUUGGACAUGGAUCAUUUGAAUGGCAGUGUCCUCAGCAGAAGGUUCAUGGGUCUUGCCACUGAGGUCCCUAGAGCUCCCCUCAUUCCUAUAUUUCCUGAGGCCUGGCCAGCUUUUCCUUUGAUUGGGUGAACUUCACCCUUUUUUAAAAUUUUUAUUUGAUUUUGGCUGUGUGAGUCUUCAUCGAGGUACACUGCUUCUUUCAGAGCAGUAAGAGUGCAUGGGCUCAGUAAUUGUGGCAAGAGGGCUUGGUUGCCCUGAAGUAUGUGGGAAUCUUAGUUCAACUAGGGAUCAAACCUGCAUCCCCUGCAUUGAAAGGCAGAUUCUUAACCACUGGACCACCACAGACGUCCACUAUGAACUUGACCAAUACCUUCCUGUUGUGGACUGAAUGGUAGUCCCAGAGAUAUGCUCACAUCCUAAUCUCUGGAACCUGAAAAUGUUACCUCAUUUGGACAAAGGGUCUUUUUCCAGAUGUGAUGAAGUUAAUGAUCUUGAGAUGAGAUUAUCUUGGAUUAUCCUAGUGGGCCCUAAAUGCCAUCACAAGUCUCCUUAUGAGCAAGAGUUUUGGGGAGGUCUGACACAUAGAGGAGAAGGCAAUGUGAUGAAAGAGGCAGAAACUGGAGUGAUGCAGCCUCAAGCCAAGGGGUGCUGGCAGCCCCCACAAGCUAGAAGAGGCCAGGAGAGGGGUUCACCCUCAAGCAUCUGGAGGGAAUAUGACCCUGCUCACACCCUGAUUUUGGAUUUCUGGCUCCCAGAACUGUGAGAGAAUAAAUUUCUGUUGUUUCAAGUUUGUAGAAAUUUGAAGCCACCAGAAACUAAUACACCUUCCAAUAAAUUAAGGGUCAUUUUAAGGAAGUCAGUUUCUCUUGCUUGCAAACAAAGAACUCUAAUUGUAACUGUUGUUCAUCAUUUCAAAUAUUUACUCUAAUGAAUUACGCUUUUUGGCUAAUAAUCAGCUGGAUUCUUGUUCCUAUCACUUACGUGCUAAGUCAAUUCAGUCCUGUUUGCAAUCCUAUGGACUGUGACCUGCCAGGCUCCUCUGUGCAUGGGGAUUCUCCAGGCAAGAAUACUGGAGUGGGUUUCCAUGCUCUUCUCUGGGGGAUCUUCCUGACCCAGGGAUUGAACCCACAUCUCUUAUGUCUCCUGCACUGGCAGGCAGGUUCUUUACCACUAGCACCACCAUCGCUUAUAAUCUGUGCCUCAUUGAAGACUAGAACCAGAGAUUGCAGAUUCUGAGUCACUCCCCGUGUCACCCUCCAUCCCUAGUCAUCCAGAAAGCACAUCAGGCAACCAGCUUCACACAGGCAGACACAGGUCCCUGGACCCAGACUCUUUAUUUGCAUCAUGGUUUUCACUGAUACACAGGAGUGGGAGUAAUUUGUUGCUUUUCUGCCAGGACCACAUGCAGCCUCAUGAUGGAUGCAGGCCAGACGAUGCUUCCCUGAGCUUUCCUCAGACCCGUUCUAGGGACUCAAGGCUGGAAGUUAUCUGGCUCCUUGCGCCUGGCACCCAGUGGACUGUACAAAUCAGUCAAUCCAUUCAACGUGGACAAAACACCUGCUCCAAACCAAGGUGGGUUCAAUCAGACAGCGUCUUCCAUCUUGGAGCUCAGUGUGGGGGAAAGACAGAGCCAUCGUCCAGCCAUGAUGGUCCUGUGAUGGCACUCCUAGCCACGGCUCAUAGAGUCUAGGAUAACACUAUGCCUCCCUGUGUCUUUGCAGGAAAGGACCCAGCCUCCAGGUGUCAUUUCUGAGGCCAGCGUGAGUGAUCCUGAGAGGUCAUGCCACGAAGAAGUUAAGCAGGGGAGGAAUCUGCUCCGUUUCAGCUGACUGCAGGGGUGUGGGAAGGGGGUGCCUGGAGCCCUGGUUUUAAUAAACCUGAGAAAUUGGAGGCCCACUGGAGGCCUGGGCCUCUAGGUCUUCAGACCUGCCCUCCUGGGAGGUCUCGCGAGAGGUCUCCAGAGAUGCCUCUGACACCCCAUCAAUGCUGCUCAGCAAGUCCUCAAACUCCCGGUGGUUGCUGUUGCGCACGGCGGCUUCCAGAGCCUUCUGGCGCCGGUAGAAGUGGGAGAACUUGUUGAAGAUGAUGGUGAUGGGGAGCGCCACCACUAGGAUGCCCCCCAGGAUGCAGCCCGAGGCCGCCAGCUUGCCAGCCACCGUCACCGGCACCACGUCCCCAUAGCCCACGGUGGUCAUGCUCACCGUGCCCCACCACCAGCAGGCCGGGAUGGUGUCAAAGCCCACUUCCUCCUCCUUCUCAGCUGUGUAGGCCACGCCAGAGAACACGGACACCCCCACAGCCAGAUACAACAGCAAGAUGCCCACCUCACGGUAGCUGUGCUGGAAGAGAAUACAGGAAGCCAGAUACCAGAAAGACCUCCUGUUGAAAUGCACACCCGGUAUCCUGAGCCUGGACACUGCAGACCUGGAAGGGCCCCUGCUCACCCGCCCCGCGGUUACACCCACCUCCCCGAAACCCCCACCCCCUACCUUGAGCGUUGCGCCCAGCGAGCGCAGGCCAGUGGAGUGGCGCGCCAACUUGAGCACGCGGAAAAUGCGCAUGAGACGGAACACCUGCACCACCUUGCCCAGAUCACCCAGCUCCUC
Molecule: long non-coding RNA, 4268 nt
Organism: Bubalus bubalis (water buffalo)
Lineage: Eukaryota; Metazoa; Chordata; Mammalia; Artiodactyla; Bovidae
Exons: 4
Source: RefSeq, a predicted model, not a curated record